AGGGUUUGAUUAUGGCUCAGGAUGAACGCUGGCGGCGUGCUUAACACAUGCAAGUCGAACGGAACUCCUAUGAUUGAGGUUUCGGCCAAAAGAAUAGGAUGUUUAGUGGCGGACGGGUGAGUAACGCGUGAGUAACCUGCCUUGGAGUGGGGAAUAACACAGUGAAAACUGUGCUAAUACCGCAUAAUGCAUUUGGGUCGCAUGAUUCUGAAUGCCAAAGAUUUAUCGCUCUGAGAUGGACUCGCGUCUGAUUAGCUAGUUGGCGGGGUAACGGCCCACCAAGGCGACGAUCAGUAGCCGGACUGAGAGGUUGGCCGGCCACAUUGGGACUGAGACACGGCCCAG
Molecule: ribosomal RNA, 345 nt
Filed under: uncultured bacterium
Lineage: Bacteria
Description: bacterial SSU rRNA
Rfam family: Bacterial small subunit ribosomal RNA
Source: RNAcentral